This 338-nucleotide ribosomal RNA is filed under the name uncultured Flavobacteriaceae bacterium. RNAcentral describes it as "bacterial LSU rRNA". It matches the Rfam family "Bacterial large subunit ribosomal RNA", at positions 1 to 354 of the family's 2925-position model. Lineage: Bacteria; Pseudomonadati; Bacteroidota; Flavobacteriia; Flavobacteriales; Flavobacteriaceae. The record is from RNAcentral.
UAUAGGCUAAUUAAGAGCAUAUGGGGGAUUCCUAGGCUCUCAGAGGCGAUGAAGGACGUGAUAAGCUGCGAUAAGCUACGGUUAGUGGCACAUACACUUUAACCCGUAGAUUUCCGAAUGGGGAAACCUAAUAGAUUGAAGAUCUAUUGCACCGAAAGGUGGGCAAACCCGGAGAACUGAAACAUCUAAGUACCCGGAGGAGAAGAAAACAAUUGUGAUUCCAUUAGUAGUGGCGAGCGAAAGUGGAACAGCCCAAACUAUUUAUGUUUCGGCAUAAAUAGGGUUGUAGGACCACGCUAUUUGAUGCUUUAUGAACUAGAAUCUACUGGAAAGUAGAA